This 491-nucleotide ribosomal RNA is filed under the name uncultured bacterium. Its description in RNAcentral is "partial 16S ribosomal RNA". It matches the Rfam family "Bacterial small subunit ribosomal RNA", at positions 28 to 507 of the family's 1533-position model. The record is from RNAcentral.
GAUGAACGCUGGCUACAGGCUUAACACAUGCAAGUCGAGGGGAAACGCCGGGGAAGCUUGCUUCCCCGGGCGUCGACCGGCGGACGGGUGAGUAACGCGUAUCCAACCUGCCUCUGACUGAGGGAUAACCCGUCGAAAGUCGGCCUAAUACCUCAUGGCAUCGUCUGCGGGCAUCCAACGACGAUUAAAGAUUUCAGCGGUCAGGGAUGGGGAUGCGUCUGAUUAGCUAGUUGGCGAGGUAACGGCCCACCAAGGCGACGAUCAGUAGGGGUUCGGAGAGGAAGCUCCCCCACAUUGGAACUGCGACCCGGACCAAUCUCCUACGCGAGGCAGCAGUGAGGAAUAUUGGGCGAUGAGCGAGGGCCUGAACCAGCCAAGUAGCGUGCAGGAUGACGGCCCUCUGGGUUGUAAGCUGCUUUUAUGCGGGGAUAAAGUGAGGGACGUGUCCUUCAUUGCAGGUACCGAAUGAAUAAGGACCGGCUAAUUCCGUG